Molecule: long non-coding RNA, 201 nt
Filed under: Medicago truncatula (barrel medic)
Lineage: Eukaryota; Viridiplantae; Streptophyta; Magnoliopsida; Fabales; Fabaceae
Description: long non-coding RNA (MTRU_LNC007406)
Source: RNAcentral
CAGCCUCCCUACGAAGGAAAUCAUCCGCAUUGCUUCCGCCGGAAUCCUCACGGGAACCCCUGAACCUAAACUGACGGUUUCCUGAAGCUCUCCCCUUGCUGAACCGAUUGACCUCCCUCUGCCAGUCAUGCCGUCGAUCCGCUUGUCGCCGCGCUUUCCUCCUCCUUGGACUCGCAACAAGCCAAUCGUCUCCCUCCCCCC